Anoplophora glabripennis (Asian longhorned beetle) is the source of this 64-nucleotide non-coding RNA. Lineage: Eukaryota; Metazoa; Arthropoda; Insecta; Coleoptera; Cerambycidae. The record is from the annotation of a RefSeq genome assembly.
ACUUAAAUAGCUUAUAUAGAGUAUAAUAUUGAAGAUAUUAAGGAAAUAAAAAUAUUUUUAAGUA